AACGAACGCUGGCGGCAUGCCUAACACAUGCAAGUCGAACGGGAUCUUCGGAUCUAGUGGCGCACGGGUGCGUAACGCGUGGGAAUCUGCCCUUGGGUUCGGAAUAACAGCGAGAAAUUACUGCUAAUACCGGAUGAUGUCUUCGGACCAAAGAUUUAUUGCCCAGGGAUGAGCCCGCGUAGGAUUAGCUAGUUGGUGGGGUGAUGGCCUACCAAGGCGACGAUCCUUAGCUGGUCUGAGAGGAUGAUCAGCCACACUGGGACUGAGACACGGCCCAGACUCCUACGGGAGGCAGCAGUGGGGAAUAUUGGACAAUGGGCGAAAGCCUGAUCCAGCAAUGCCGCGUGAGUGAUGAAGGCCUUAGGGUUGUAAAGCUCUUUUACCAGGGAUGAUAAUGACAGUACCUGGAGAAUAAGCUCCGGCUAACUCCGUGCCAGCCGCCGCUGUAA
RNAcentral lists this ribosomal RNA (449 nucleotides) under uncultured bacterium. Its description in RNAcentral is "partial 16S ribosomal RNA". It matches the Rfam family "Bacterial small subunit ribosomal RNA", at positions 29 to 523 of the family's 1533-position model. The record is from RNAcentral.